UCUUUUGCCUUUUAAUCUCUCACAAUCACAAUCUUUCUCUUCUCCAGCAUUACGAUCUUCAUCAUCCGUCUCAACUACCUCCAACAACUCCACAAUCACAUCACUUCUCUUCAAAAAAUCCAAACCCAACUCAGAUCAUCCCAAAUCCGGUAACUUCCAACUCUUUUUCUUUCCCAUCUUCAUCAUAUUAGUUUAAUUAGACAUGUAAAAUUGAUAAUUUUUAAGUCGAUCCAUCAACUUUCUGGACGAUGAACCUAACAUGUCUUCACAGAUUUGUUAGACCCAAAAGCAGAGCAUUUGAUAAAUUUAUUGAAGUUUUAAUAGCACCUAUAUUUUCAUUUUUGUUUAUUUUAGUUACUAUAGCUUAAGAGGUAGAUUUCAUUGUAUAUUGUAAUUGAAGUAAUUUAAGUUAGAAUGUAGGCAUGGUUAAGGCGUUUGGUUGAACUAAUUAAUGUUUUGGUUGUUCAGCAAGAGUACAAGAACUGUUCGUGUACGAGAUAAACGAGCGAGACAGGGGAAGCCCAGCAUUCCUAAAACUAAGCAAGAAGGCUGAGAAUUCACUGGGGGAUUUGGUCCCAUUCAGCAACAAGCUCUACUCCGGCGACCUUCAGAAGCGGCUCGGCAUAACGACCGGCCUCUGCGUCCUAAUUCAGCACUUGCCUGAAAAGAAAGGGGACCGCUACGAGGCCAUCUACAGCUUCUACUUUGGCGAUUACGGCCACAUAACCGUCCAAGGCGCCUACUUGACUUAUCAAGACAC
Molecule: long non-coding RNA, 760 nt
Filed under: Cucumis sativus (cucumber)
Lineage: Eukaryota; Viridiplantae; Streptophyta; Magnoliopsida; Cucurbitales; Cucurbitaceae
Description: long non-coding RNA (CSAT_LNC001965)
Source: RNAcentral